Micromonospora humi is the source of this 112-nucleotide non-coding RNA. The record is from Rfam. Lineage: Bacteria; Bacillati; Actinomycetota; Actinomycetes; Micromonosporales; Micromonosporaceae.
CAAGUGACCCACGGGAGCCCGGUGUGGACCGGGCUGAGAGGGGGGCUGACAGCCCCCGACCGUCGAACCUGAUCCGGAUAAUGCCGGCGCAGGGAGGAGCGUUGCCGUGCCG